GGAUGAGAGAAAGAGUGAAAGGAAAGAGAGCAGAAAGGUGUUGGUGCGUAGUUGGACAGUUCCAAACGUUCGAGAGAAGACGUGGACGAAAAGCGAGUCGGUAGCUGUCGACCUUCUGUUCUCUAAAAGCACACUGUUCGCUCUGUUAAAUGUUAAAGUUAUUAUCCUCACUAUCCAUCUGGAAUAAUAUGAAGACAAACAUGCAGCGCUUGGAUGUAUUACUCACAAACACAAAAAAAUCAUUGUUAUUCAUGUACAGAUCAACACUUCAUGUGUUAUUUCAGAAUUCGAGCAUUUCAGUCCUCUGGUUAUGAAACAAACUCCCCAGAGCGCCUUGGUAGCCAAGUGGUGACGUCGGGCGGUCGGUCGCCACGGUUACAAUAACCACCAUUUGGUUAUGGGGAGGGUAACGAUGAUGGUAAAAAUAACAACGCCGCCUGCUUUGUCCUCGGCCCGUCUACUGACUGCGUCACCUGACAUCCUGCUUUGCUGCAGCCGUUACUACAACAGCAGCUCGGGGGGCUUCGGGGGCUUCGACGCGUCAGUGUCACAUCUGUCGCUUCGGGGCACGGGUCCAAAUUACAGACGUCCCGCACGAAAACAUGUUGGAAGACUAUUUAUGUCACGGCUUUGGAUCCAUUUUAACGUGAAUAACGUAUGUAUAACAAUGGCACAUUCAUUCAUUCGCUUGGAUUACUUGGAGAUAAUGUGGUAAAUAUUCAUAUUUUGGUGUCAAAAGGUGGUUAUUUGACUUCACAGCCCAACUUUUCUCAUUACUAAAUAUUAGAUUCCUUGUGGUAAAUGUUAUAGU
Molecule: long non-coding RNA, 811 nt
Organism: Gasterosteus aculeatus aculeatus (three-spined stickleback)
Lineage: Eukaryota; Metazoa; Chordata; Actinopteri; Perciformes; Gasterosteidae
Source: Ensembl